RNAcentral lists this long non-coding RNA (1669 nucleotides) under Pan troglodytes (chimpanzee). RNAcentral describes it as "long non-coding RNA NONPTRT006785". Lineage: Eukaryota; Metazoa; Chordata; Mammalia; Primates; Hominidae. The record is from RNAcentral.
GAGCUGCCCCCUGUCACUACCUGGAAGGCGAAGCAAAUGCGGCAGGAGAUGAGAUGAAAGAGCAAGUGGAUGGAAAUGCUGGGAGAAUGGGAGACAUAUCAGAACAGCAAAAAAGUCAUGAAGGAGAAGGGCAAGAGGUCCUCUGGACACAUCCACCAGAUCGACCUGGACAUGAGCCGGACAUUAAGGAACCACCUGUUCUUCAGGGACCGAUAUGGAGUCAACGCCUCAUGAAGACGUCCAGGUCUGGCCUGUGGGCACCUUUUCGAGACCAGUUAUUUCAUACCUGAGCCAUGGACGAUGAUCCUGUUCUGAAACACCUUCGGGCCUCUAUGAAGAAACUAACAAGGAAGCAUGGGGACCUGCCACCCCCAGAAACUGAGGAAAUCCCUCUUCAUGCUGAAAGAGCUCACCAACAAAUUCAGGCAGCCUGUGAAACGUUUGAUGUCCGAAGCCAACAGCACAUUCAGAUCCUCAAGCUCUACACCUCCAAUGUGACCUGGGGCUUGCACCACUUCAGGCUCGUGCAGGACUCACAGCCUUUGGACCUCAGCUAAGGGACCUGCUUCUCUGUAGCACAUGGGGCUUGUUUGUGUUGGGGUCUGAGCCCUGAGCUCAUGGUCAAGGAGAACCCCAGGUCCUUCUGAACAGAGACAGCUGGCCUCGGGGCCUCCCUCUCACUGCAUGCAAGAGCCUGUUAGGGCACAAGACUCAAGGCGCUGAGGGAGGCUGUUUCAGGAGGAAGCCGCAGAAGGAUGGUGGAGAGAGAAAGGGACAGCAUCCGCCGAGGGCCUACUGUGUGCCAGGCACUGUCCAGGGCUCCUGGCCCACAUGGGCUAAGUGAGCCUGGACACUCCUCCUGGGAGAAAGGCACAGAUGGAGAAAUUGCAGUUCAGGGAGGUGAAGCAAGCUGCUAGCCUGUGGCCACUUUGGGAUCUGAGCGCCAGCCUUCUAGCCACAAAGGCAGCCAAGGGUCAUGAAGAAGGCAUCACAGAGGCGAUUCCAGGCUGUAGUGGUGAACUCUCCACUCUGCACCCCCAGGUGCUGUGCCCUGUGCCCUGAUUAGAUAGUCCUGAAGGUUUCUACAUGUUUAAGAUAUCCCUAAUGUCAACGAUGCUCUCCUGUGGAUCCCAAGCUGUGGAGAUGUCCUGGGACUUUCCAUUUCAGGUUCCUAAAUUGAAUUUCCCAACACCUAGAAGCAACCCAGCUGCCCUGUAUCAGACCAAGGACCUUUAUUUGUGAUUCAGAAACAGUGGAAUAAAAGGAAAGGAAAGAAAACCCCAACAGCCACCUCAGCAGGAUGCCCCAAGGGUAGUGCUCUGGUGUCACUGACUCAGACAUGUGGGGGCUUCUGCCACCCACGCUCAAGAGCCACUUUGCCGUUUCACCUUCUCUGUGUCCUCCACAGCCCUCAGCAGCAUGCACGCCAAUAACAUGUUCACCACGAGGCUCAAAUCUUGGCAGAAGCUACAGAGUCCAACAUCCAGAGUACAGCAAGUGGAAGUUCACCAACAGCCUCACGUUCCUGGAGGUGCUGGAGGAGUUUCCAUCCCUGCGGGUGUCUGCUGGCUUCCUGCUCUCCCAGCUCCCCAUUCUGAAACCCAGGUUCUACUCCACGAGCUCCUCCCGGGAUCACAUGCCCAUGGAGAUCCACCUGACUGUGGCCGUG